This 72-nucleotide transfer RNA is filed under the name Ovis aries (sheep). It matches the Rfam family "tRNA". From Rfam's summary of the family: Transfer RNA (tRNA) molecules are approximately 80 nucleotides in length. Lineage: Eukaryota; Metazoa; Chordata; Mammalia; Artiodactyla; Bovidae. The record is from Rfam by way of RNAcentral.
UCCCUGGUGGCUCAGAGGUUAAAGCAUCUGCUUGCAAUGCAGGAGACCCAGGUUCAAACCCUGGGUUGGGAA